This 2198-nucleotide unclassified non-coding RNA is filed under the name Leishmania donovani. Its description in RNAcentral is "gene:LdHU3.21.1560(CDS-product:cell_division_prot ein_kinase_2)". The record is from RNAcentral. Lineage: Eukaryota; Euglenozoa; Kinetoplastea; Trypanosomatida; Trypanosomatidae.
UUCGUUGUGUGUCGGUCCGUCUGUCUGCGCGGCUUCGAACGAGCGAGACGCAAGUGGUCUACACCCACGCACGAGACGACGACAAAAAGCGUGGCCGUGGUCAUCUGCGGUGGAAAAGAACCAAACAGACACGAAACGAAAAAAAAAAACAGAAAAUCUGUAAACGCAGACGCGAGCACCCAGCGCCCACCCCCCUCCGCUCCGCUGCCGUUGCCAGCAGACCGAAAGGAAGGAAGGAUAUACACACACACACACACACACACACACACACACACGCAAAGAAAGAAAAGAGGCAAACGCGAAAAGGAAAGCAAUGACCAGCCGGUACGAGCGGCAGGAGAAGAUCGGCGAGGGCACCUACGGCGUGGUGUACAAGGCCCGAGACACGUCCACUGCCGCGACGGUCGCGUUGAAGCGCAUUCGGCUUGACUCGGAGGAGGAGGGCGUUCCGUGCACCGCCAUUCGCGAGAUUUCGCUGCUGAAGGAGCUGCGACAUGAGAACAUCGUGAAGCUGCUGGACGUGUGUCACAGCGAGCACCGUCUGACGAUCGUCUUCGAGUAUUUAGACCUAGACUUGAAGAAGUAUCUCGACCGCGAGAACGGCAACCUCGAUGCGGCAACGGUUCAGCACUUUAUGCGCGACCUGCUGCGCGGCGUCGCCUUCUGCCACCAGCGCAGUGUCCUGCAUCGCGACCUGAAGCCGCAGAAUCUUCUCAUCUCGCGCGAGAAGGAGCUGAAGCUAGGCGACUUCGGUCUCGGUCGUUCCUUCGCCAUCCCAGUGCGCAAAUUCACGAACGAGGUGGUGACGCUGUGGUACCGACCGCCCGACGUUCUGCUCGGCUCGAUGCAGUACGGUCCGCCGGUGGACGUGUGGUCCGUGGGGUGCAUCUUCUCCGAGAUGGCCACCGGGACGCCGCUCUUCGCCGGGAAGAACGAUGCCGACCAGCUCAUGCGGAUCUUCCGCUUCCUAGGCACACCGAACAACCGGGUUUGGCCGUCCAUGAACCAGUACCCGAACUCGAAUAACAUGCUGUCGCAGCCGGAGUUUUUGCAGAACUUCGAGCCGGAAUGGAGCAACGUGCUCGGCUCCGUGCCCGGGUACGAGAAGCUUGGCUGCGCUGGUGUCGAUCUGCUAGAAAAGUUGCUACGCUACGAGCCGUCGGAGCGCAUUACGGCGGCAGACGCGUUGAACCACCCGUACUUUAGCCUCCAGUUUUAGCCACUCCAAUAACGCAACAUUCCCUUUCUGCGUCCCCUCCGUGUGCCGGCAGAAACGAAGAAUUCGGGGGAGGCCUGUGUGGCAUAUACAUAUCCUGCUCGUUGCCAUGCAGAGGUGAGGUGCUGGUGUCCUUGGUUGGUGGCCUUCACGCUUGGCUUUUUUUUGUCUGUCCAGAGGGCGUGCCCUCGUCUCGACGCGUAUGGAUAAGCGUCUGCGUCUUGACUGAGGCGGCCGUGGUGGUGGUGUGUGGGGGGAUGUCCUACCGUUUUCAACCCUUGCUGUCCCUCUCUCGUUCUGUUGCCCCCUCCUCUCUCCUCCGCCUCCUUCGUUGCUUUCCUGUUUCGGUUGUCUCCUUGUCAUGCACUCGGCCGCGUGCGUUUUCUCCUGUUUUGUUGUUGUUUUCGAGUGCCGUUCUGUUCCCGUUGAUGUCGAUCCUGUGCAUGUGCGUGUGCGCGUGUGUGUUUUAUAUCUCUUCUUCCGGGUGUGGCUCUUCUCGGGGUUGAUGCUGUUGGUCUGGCGAUAAUGCCCCCCUUCCUCUCUCCUCCCCUCCCCCCUCUUCGGCCGCUCUCUUCUCCUCCUCCUCUCUCUACACGGUUGUUCACGUUAAUAUGUUUCCUUCCUUUUUUCCUUCCUUUUUGUCUUCUCUCCGGAUCAUGCUGAAUUCGUCGUUUCGCGCAUGCCCGUGUUGCCCCCUCCCCAGGCGUGCGUGUGCUUCCAUGAAUAGCGGUGAGUGAUGACGCCCCGCCCCGCCCCGCCCCCUCCCCCGCCACCGCCCGUACACGCGCACCACCAACCUGCACACGGCUGCGCGCGCGACCGACCCCCGCGGCCGGACUCUUGCAAAGACCGCCGGGCCCAACGAGAGCGUCUUCGCUUCACCUCCUCAUUCCCAGGGAGGGGCGAGGGAGAGAGGAAAAGCGAGCGAAGAAAACGAAAAAAAAACUGUUUCAUUCAGCGGUGCUCACCCAGACGUACUCAU